GAAACUAACUAGGAUUCCCCUAGUAACGGCGAGUGAAGCGGGAAAAGCUCAAAUUUUAAAUCAGACUGACUACGUCGGUCCGAGUUGUAAUUUGAAGAAAUGUUAUCAAGUCACUUGAUCGAAUCUAAGUUCCUUGGAAUAGGACAUCAAAGAGGGUGAGAAUCCCGUCUGGAUUCGAACAAGUGGCGUUACGUUAACUUUUCUAAGAGUCGAGUUGUUUGGGAUUGCAGCUCAAAAUGGGUGGUAAAUUCCAUCUAAGGCUAAAUAUAGACGAGAGACCGAUAGCGAACAAGUACCGUGAGGGAAAGAUGAAAAGAACUUUGAAAAGAGAGUUAAAUAGUACGUGAAAUUGUUGAAAGGGAAACGAUUAAAGUCAGUAGUGCCGGCGGGAAAUCAGCUUACAGGUUACUGUGAGUGCACUUUUUCGCAAGGCAGGUUAGCAUCGGUUUUGGUCGUGUUAAAAUGAGAGCAGGAAGGUGGCUCCCUCGGGAGUGUUAUAGCCUGUUCUAGAUGACAUGGACAAGACCGAGGAUUGCAGCGAAUGCCUUUAGGUUACUGAUCUGGUCUCUGUGAAUGACUCGUCAGCCUUGAGCUUGCUCGAGUCUGGUUGGUUUAUUUACAAUAGGUUCAGAAUCGGAUAAAUUCGCUAAGGAUGCUGACGUAAUGGCUUUAAACGAC
This 678-nucleotide ribosomal RNA is filed under the name uncultured Ambispora. RNAcentral's name for it is "eukaryotic LSU rRNA". It matches the Rfam family "Eukaryotic large subunit ribosomal RNA", at positions 61 to 648 of the family's 3401-position model. Lineage: Eukaryota; Fungi; Glomeromycota; Glomeromycetes; Archaeosporales; Ambisporaceae. The record is from RNAcentral.